CAGAGAGGGACAUGCGCAGUGAGUGCCUCCCGUCUCGUCUACCCGAACCCCCCUCCCCCCCAAGCAGAGAGACCCCAGCAGCAGCAGCAGCUGAUGAUGAAGAGAGAGGCAGUGGCAGAGGGGGGGCACCUUUUAUUUCUAUUUUUAAAGGGACAGGACACUAAUUCUAUCCCACUUCAACCUUGAAUUGAGGGGGGUGGGGGGAAGGCGGCUGAGUUCCUUCCCCCACCCUCCAGCCCUGAGCCCUGAGAGGGGGAUUGAGCCUGAGAGAGGAGGAGAAGGAGUUUCUUCUUCUUCGAAAACCCCCAUCCACGACUCCUACCCCCUCACCCCUCCAACUCGCCUCCCUCCCGAGCCCCCUCCACCCUCCUCCUCUUUGGCCGUGAGAGGAGGAGAGAAAGAAACCAAAAGCCUCUUAGCAACACAGACCCUUUGCUGCUGCUGCUGCUGCUGUUGCUGCUGCUACUGCUGCUGCUGCUGCUGCUGCUACUGCUGCUGCUUGGCCCUGGCUGGAGACAUCUCACUACACCCAGGAGCAGCCACUUCCCCAGCUCUCCUCCUCCUCCUUCGCCUCCUCCUCCUCCACUCCCCCCCUUUAUUACCCUUUGUGUCAUCCUCCACAGCUCCAGGGAAGGCACUCAAAAGUGGGGGGCAGGAAAGAUGUACAUUGAAGAUGUCAGUUUCUACAUGUGGGAAGUAGACAUUGAAGGCUUUAUGGUUUACAGACAAGAUCUUUAGGAGUUAAGCACUAAAGGACCAAGAAAAUAAAUACCAGAAAUCAACAAGAGCA
Molecule: long non-coding RNA, 790 nt
Filed under: Theropithecus gelada (gelada)
Lineage: Eukaryota; Metazoa; Chordata; Mammalia; Primates; Cercopithecidae
Description: lncRNA (ENSTGEG00000004328.1)
Source: RNAcentral